GCAGUUCCAUCUCCUUGAGAUCCUAGUCGCAGUAGCCGUCUUUGUUUCCCUGUGACCUGCAGGUUCUGGGAGAUCUGUAGAGAGGACACCGGGACAUCUCUGAAGCUGUGAAAUGUUUUUGACCGGGCCUGGGUUUCAACCCUCCACCUCCUGCAUAUAGGGCUGGCACCGUACUCCUUUGAGCCACAGGCCUCCCAGGAACACAUCUGUCCUGGGUCUGAUCUCAAAAAUUACCAAAAACUCUCACGUGACUGGGUUGACUGAUGAACUGAUGCCUUAAUGAGGAAAAGAGGCAAGAAAUAGUCUGUGUCUGAUAACAGCAACCUAAUAGUUCCCACAAACUCCACAGAUUUAUACUUUGUUGGAAGCCUGAUCAGAGAGCUGGGGCUUCUGGUUUUGG
Molecule: long non-coding RNA, 400 nt
Organism: Nycticebus coucang (slow loris)
Lineage: Eukaryota; Metazoa; Chordata; Mammalia; Primates; Lorisidae
Exons: 4
Source: RefSeq, a predicted model, not a curated record